This 436-nucleotide ribosomal RNA is filed under the name uncultured bacterium. RNAcentral's name for it is "partial 16S ribosomal RNA". It matches the Rfam family "Bacterial small subunit ribosomal RNA", at positions 29 to 506 of the family's 1533-position model. The record is from RNAcentral.
AGCGAACGCUGGCGGCAGGCUUAACACAUGCAAGUCGAGCGGGCAUCCUUGUGGUGUCAGCGGCAGACGGGUGAGUAACGCGUGGGAACGUGCCCUUCGGUUCGGAAUAACUCAGGGAAACCUGAGCUAAUACCGGAUACGUGCGAGAGCAGAAAGGUUUAUCUGCCGAAGGAUCGGCCCGCGUCUGAUUAGCUAGUUGGUGAGGUUAUGGCUCACCAAGGCGACGAUCAGUAGCUGGUCUGAGAGGAUGAUCAGCCACACUGGGACUGAGACACGGCCCAGACUCCUACGGGAGGCAGCAGUGGGGAAUAUUGGACAAUGGGGGCAACCCUGAUCCAGCCAUGCCGCGUGAGUGAUGACGGCCUUAGGGUUGUAAAGCUCUUUUCGUCGGGACGAUAAUGACGGUACCGGAGGAAUAAGCCCCGGCUAACUUCGU